UAGUCAUAUGCUUGUCUCAAAGAUUAAGCCAUGCAUGUCUAAGUAUAAACAUCUUUAUACAGUGAAACUGCGUACAGCUCAUUAUAUCAGUUAUUAUUUAUUUGAUGGUACCUUACUACAUGGAUACCCGUAGUAAUUCUAGAGCUAAUACAUGCGUAAAGUCCCGACUUUUUGGAAGGGAUGUAUUUAUUAGAUUAAAAACCAAUGCAGGCAACUGCUCCUUUGGUGAUUCAUAGUAACUUUAACGGAUCGCACGGCUUCACGUCGGCGACAGUUCAUUCAAAUUUCUGCCCUAUCAGCUUUCGACGGUACUGUAGUGGACUACCGUGGCAUUAACGGGUAACGGGGAAUUAGGGUUCUAUUCCGGAGAGGGAGCCUGAGAAACGGCUACCACAUCCAAGGAAGGCAGCAGGCGCGCAAAUUACCCAAUCCCGACACGGGGAGGUAGUGACAAUAAAUACUGAUACAGGGCUCUUUUGGGUCUUGUAAUUGGAAUGAGUACAAUUUAAAUCCCUUAACGAGGAACAAUU
This 530-nucleotide ribosomal RNA is filed under the name uncultured eukaryote. RNAcentral describes it as "SSU rRNA". It matches the Rfam family "Eukaryotic small subunit ribosomal RNA", at positions 21 to 549 of the family's 1831-position model. The record is from RNAcentral.